GGUGGGGUAGUGUUAAUGUAGCAUGUUGGGCUCAUGACCCAAUGGUAAUGGUUCAAGUCCAUUCCCCACCA
This 71-nucleotide transfer RNA is filed under the name Rickettsiaceae bacterium. RNAcentral describes it as "tRNA-Met". It matches the Rfam family "tRNA". Rfam says of the family: Transfer RNA (tRNA) molecules are approximately 80 nucleotides in length. The record is from RNAcentral. Lineage: Bacteria; Pseudomonadati; Pseudomonadota; Alphaproteobacteria; Rickettsiales; Rickettsiaceae.